This 86-nucleotide ribosomal RNA is filed under the name Proteiniphilum sp. Lineage: Bacteria; Pseudomonadati; Bacteroidota; Bacteroidia; Bacteroidales; Dysgonomonadaceae. RNAcentral also lists the same sequence under 1 other name. The record is from RNAcentral.
CACCUCUUCCCAUUCCGAACAGAGAAGUUAAGCCCAAUAGCGCCGAUGGUACUGCACACAAGUGGGAGAGUAGGUAGCCGCCGUCC